Molecule: long non-coding RNA, 780 nt
Organism: Drosophila persimilis
Lineage: Eukaryota; Metazoa; Arthropoda; Insecta; Diptera; Drosophilidae
Exons: 4
Source: RefSeq, a predicted model, not a curated record
GCCUAUCACUCGGCUUUCCUGGCUUCCUUAACAUUGAAAUUUUUGCGCAUUUCCAGAACUUUGGGAAGUGGCCGAACUGCAGAGCCGAGUUGCAUAUCAACAGCAGAUACUCGAUGGCGGAUGUUGGCAGAGAUUUAAUGACGCGAUUGUCGAUGCUGUCGAAACCGGGUGCCUUUUUCGUCUUGAGCUUCUUAAUUUCCGAUUUGAGUUCCUGGAUGGUUACAGGGCUGCCGUGAUCUUUGGCGUGAAACGUGCUUCCAGGUGCUGCGCAAAGGCCUCAGCUUUUUCCUCCGUAGUUUUGCACCAAGGAUCAGCAGGAGCUUGCUGCCCUUCCGCCACGUGCCUCCUGACUGGCAGAUUUGGAAUGGACUGUCUCUUGAUUGUAUUGCUUGAUCCGUUUACGUAUUCUGUUAGUCAGCUGAUUGAUAGUGCGUGCAAUGAGGGGGUUGGAGCACCUAUCUCUUUGGUUGAUUUUGCAGAGUAUUCUUUUGAUCUUGAUCGCUUUCAGCGUUUGCGAGUCAAGAUGAAGGUUUUGCGGUCCGUACACUGUGUGCUGGUUACUUGAGGCUUGCGAGGCCAAUUCAGCUGCAAUGUAGAUGUUCUUUUCAAGGAUAGCCACUGCAUCGUCUGUCGUCGCCGUUGUGAAGUUCAGUCUCCAGAUGGAUUCGCUGUUCAAGGUCUCAGGAGGAGUCUAAUGAUUUGCAUGUUGUGAUCUGAACCUAAAUCAUAUGAUGUUUCGAUGUGAAUUAAAUUGUGUCUAAUACCCUUAUAAACCGCAAA